CCUCUUCGUCUUCAAUGAUCAUGUUGUGCAAAAUAAUGCACGUGAAAAGCUAAAAUAAAAUAUAGAAUUUUAAAAUUAAAAAUAUUACAACAAUUAAAAAUUAGGUGAAAAUUUAAAAAAAUAAAAUAAAAAAUUGGGAUUUUAAAAGACAAAAAAAACAAAAACAAAAAUUAAAAUUAAAAUCAAAAGCAAAACUAAAAACGAAAAUUUUAAAAGCCCAACCCCACCCAGCCGACAUCCCCUCUUCUUCCCCAACCCACCUUUUUUUUUCUCAUCUUUCCCCCAUUGUUGCACUGCUUCUUUUUUUUUUCUUCUUCUUUUUUCGCACUCUUCAUUUAUUUAUUUUUUUAUUAAAUCGGCGCGUGUAGCGCACGAUUUCGCCAAAAUCCGCCAACGGCCCACGUCUUGCCUUCGUCCCGGCUUCGACGCGCCCCGGAUCUCCAACGCGGCUGCCCCUCCUUCGUCCUGGAUCGACGCGGCAUCUCCAACCCGCGUUGGAGAUGCUCUAAGCUACUAAUAAACUAUAUCUUAUAAGCUC
RNAcentral lists this long non-coding RNA (538 nucleotides) under Salvia miltiorrhiza (redroot sage). Its description in RNAcentral is "long non-coding RNA (SMIL_LNC003686)". The record is from RNAcentral. Lineage: Eukaryota; Viridiplantae; Streptophyta; Magnoliopsida; Lamiales; Lamiaceae.